RNAcentral lists this ribosomal RNA (858 nucleotides) under Triticum aestivum (bread wheat). RNAcentral describes it as "partial small subunit ribosomal RNA". The record is from RNAcentral. Lineage: Eukaryota; Viridiplantae; Streptophyta; Magnoliopsida; Poales; Poaceae.
AUGGCAGCUGCAACUGGCUAUGAUGGCCCGAAUGAUGAGCAGUUGCAUGCGUAUGCCGACCUAAGUUAUGCUCACCAACCAUUCUACGGGAGCAAUCUGGUGGAGGUUUUUGCCGUGCGUGUCCCUGAUGCAGCCGCCUCCUCCCGAGGAAACAGGCUGCCGCCUUGUGGCAUAGUCGAUGUUGGUGGCGCCUAUUGCUCUGUGUCUCUGGUCUUCAGCAGGAUCCACCAUGACGACUCCAUCACUCCACAACCUUGCGAUUGGCAGGGCAACCUUGUGCUAACUGGUCCAGGAAGAGCCAUCUCAGCAGAUGGACCUAUCGGGUUCAGCAUUUAUCUCCAUGACAAUAGCCAAGAUAUCUCUGUUGAAGAAAUCUGGAACAAGAGCGUGCAUUUACACCUGGAGACCCCAACAUUGGACAGGCCCCUAUUAGAAACUGCCAAUACUCCUUAUGGUCCUGUGGAGGUGAUCUAUGCCAUCCUGAGCCAGGGAGUUGAAUGCAAAGUUGCUGUGAGGCUUACUCAUUGCGAUGUAAAAGAUCCUAUCAGCCUUUUUGGGAGAAUUGUCGCUCGCAGCGAGCUGUUUGAUAUCGGCUGCGUGCUUUUCUACAACGAAGACGUGAAGGGCAUAUGUGCACGAUCAGGAGAGCUGACUCCCUUAGCUAGACAUCAGCUUGCGGUGCCAUUGUACAAGGUACUGGUAAUUGAAAUAGAUCUGCACUCUGAUUGUGGUGACGAGAUUAUGAGAGGCACACUAGAGUUUCAUCCCUUGCCCGAAGGCGAUCAAACAGGGCGUCUUAUCAGCAAGAGUGGUACUCAAAUUGAAGUGAAGAUCUUCAUUACAGAAUACUUUAGGUAG